AAUUACUUUUGCUCAAAUUCUGUUUUUAAGUAUCUAGUCAGAUCUCCCUAAUUAGCCAAAACAAUGGAUCGCUUUUAAAAAUCACUUCAUUAGAGCCGGCCCCACGGCUCACUAGGCUAAUCCUCCACCGUGCAGCACCGGCACACCAGGUUCUAGUCCCGGUCGGGGCGCUGGAUUCUGUCCCGGUUGCCCCCCUUCCAGGCCAGCUCUCUGCUGUGGCCAGGGAGUGCAGUGGAGGAUGGCCCAAGUGCUUGGGCCCUGCACCCCAUGGGAGACCAGGAGAAGCACCUGGCUCCUGCCAUUGGAUCAGCACGGUGCGCCGGCCGCGGCGGCCAUUGGAGGGUGAACCAACGGCAAAAGGAAGACCUUUCUCUCUGUCUCUCUCUCUCACUGUCCACUCUGCCUGUCAAAAAAAAAAAAAAUCACUUCAUUAGGUGCUAAAAUAUAUUUUGCAAUUCUACAAGAUAAAAUAAUUAAACUGUGAUAUGACAGAAAUAUCCAGAAAAGCAUGGAAAUGCCUUAUUUCCCCAUUUUCGCAUAUUCCCUUAUGUCCUUCUCCUGAUGGAACAAAGCAUAAUGUUUCUGCUUGGAACAAAAUGCCUGACAAAAAUUGAACUUUCCUUUUUCUUUAACCUUCCCAACCCUGCAAAAAUUGAGCUAAGUAUAAAUAUUAGCCGAUGUGUAGCUUUUGAAAAUGAACUUCAUGGCGGUAUACUUUAUCUCAAUAAAAUGCACCCACUUUCAGUGUGCAGUUCAGUGGGUUUUGACGAGUGUUAUGCCCAUAAAACCAUCACCUCAAUCAAGAUAGCGCACACUUCCGCCUCCUGUGGGGAGCAACCCGGACUAGACUAAGUUACUGGAAUUAAGACUUACUCUAUGCAUCUGCUCUCCCACAAUAUGGCGCUGGGAGAGAAGAAAACAGCUUCUGCACAGCUGCCUCCAGUUCAACCAAUAAACUGUAGGACUUGCUCCUGAUUGGAGGAGAGCAGCGUACUCGGCGUGUGGGCAGCCGAGUUAGGAUUGGCAGAGGAGGACUAUAAAGGAGGAGAGAGACGGCAUGCACCAGGAACAUCUAAGGGGAACAUCUAGCUGAAGGAACACCUGUGCAGCCCCCGAGCCGAGCCGGCCGGCGGUGUGCCGCUCCCCUGCGGAAGUGGGGAAUGUGGCCAGGGGGAACCGCCCUUCCACGGAGGUGGAAGGGACGGUAGCCAACCCGGGAAGAACCAGCAGCAAACCCGGGGAGGGCCGAGCAGACGAAAGAACAGCGCAGGGUCCUGUGUCGUUCCUCCACGAAGAGGGGGAGCGACAGCCUCCCCAGGGCUCUCAUGCCCCAUCCCAGCCCCCGGCCCAGGCAACCCCUGAUUUCCCUUGUCACGUUCACUUCGUGUGCCCACUGUGAAACUCCCUUCCAGCAGAUUCACACCACGUCUACUCUUCUGUGUCUGGCUUCUUUGCCGUAGUGUUUUCAGAUUCGCCCGUGUUGAUGCUGAUGUCAUGAGUUUGGAUCUUUCUAUUGCAAAACGGUGUUUUUCCCUUCAAGACAGUGUGUCCUUGUUUCCCCCCAAGAUCUCCUGGAAUUGGAUCCUGCUCAGCCGAGGCCCAAUAGGAACACUCACCUCCAUUUUGGUCAGAGAAGUAACUGCAUGUUUACUUCCAAAGGCAGCAACCUCCAGUGUCCUUGCCUUCCAUUGCUUCCGGCUUAUAAUGCCGGGUAGCAGCCACCAGAACAAAAGUGAGCCAGCCAAGGGAGGGUUAAGUGACAGAAUAUUCAAGGAAUGUGAAGUCUAGAUUCCAUGGUCAGGCAGCUGAGCGUGGACAACCUGGCCUCGCACAGGUGCACGUCUAGUUUUGAAUCCCAUCUGCGAGCGACAGCCUGUCCUCCGACAGCACUCUUACCUCCCCCCAUCUGUUCUGUAUACGAACGUUGUGAUCCCAGGAAUAACCCUUUGGCUCAAAAGAAGACAACUCUGUUUGGCGUAGACCCAACCUAGCUUCUAGACUUCUCUUUCUCCCCGAAAUAGAGCCCUCACUCUCCUGCGCAUUUCUCUCACUGAAUAAAAUCCUUAAAACUUAAAAAAAAAAAAAAAAGAUAAA
Non-coding RNA from Oryctolagus cuniculus (rabbit), 2094 nucleotides. The record is from RefSeq and is a predicted model, not a curated record. NCBI's taxonomy places the organism in Eukaryota, Metazoa, Chordata, Mammalia, Lagomorpha, Leporidae.